This 500-nucleotide ribosomal RNA is filed under the name uncultured bacterium. Its description in RNAcentral is "partial 16S ribosomal RNA". It matches the Rfam family "Bacterial small subunit ribosomal RNA", at positions 30 to 523 of the family's 1533-position model. The record is from RNAcentral.
AUUGAACGCUGGCGGAAUGCUUUACACAUGCAAGUCGAACGGCAGCACGGACUUCGGUCUGGUGGCGUGUGGCGAACGGGUGAGUAAUGUAUCGGAACGUGCCCAGUCGUGGGGGAUAACGUAGUGAAAAUUACGCUAAUACCGCAUACGAUCUAUGGAUGAAAGCGGGGGAUCGCAAGACCUCGCGCGAUUGGAGCGGCCGAUAUCAGAUUAGGUAGUUGGUGGGGUAAAGGCCCACCAAGCCAACGAUCUGUAGCUGGUCUGAGAGGACGACCAGCCACACUGGAACUGAGACACGGUCCAGACUCCUACGGGAGGCAGCAGUGGGGAAUUUUGGACAAUGGGCGAAAGCCUGAUCCGGCCAUUCCGCGUGCAGGAUGAAGGCCCUCGGGUUGUAAACUGCUUUUGUACAGAACGAAAAGGUUUCUACUAAUACUAGGAGCUCAUGACGGUACUGUAAGAAUAAGCACCGGCUAACUACGUGUCAGCCGCCGCCGUAA